RNAcentral lists this long non-coding RNA (423 nucleotides) under Nicotiana benthamiana. Its description in RNAcentral is "long non-coding RNA (NBEN_LNC008710)". The record is from RNAcentral. Lineage: Eukaryota; Viridiplantae; Streptophyta; Magnoliopsida; Solanales; Solanaceae.
AUAUAGUGGUUUAUGCCCUUAUUUGGCUUCAAGAAGCAUUAGAAUCCCUUAUUUAACUUGCGGGGCAAUCAAGGAAUAGAAGCUACCAUCCUAGGGGGAGGAUCUAUUAUCUCUCUACCCAGCUCCUCGUCUAGCAGCCAAGAACAAGAGAGCUACAACACUCAGGUUGUUGAAUGAUUUAGGAUCGUCAAGGAAUCGAAGCUACCAUCGUAGGGGGAGGAUCUAUUAUCUAUCUACCCAGCUCCUCGUCUAGCGGCCAAGAAUAAGAGAGCUACAACACUCAGGUUGUUGAAUGAUUUAGGAUCAGAUGAGAAAACCAACCCUAGGAGAGAGGCUCAAUAAGAUAAGUUAAUCGGAGUUCCCGGAAGGAGGUCCCACCAUUUACUUGACUCUUAGAACCUUUGUUGGUUUUGGGCAACGGGG